RNAcentral lists this long non-coding RNA (1464 nucleotides) under Daucus carota (carrot). RNAcentral describes it as "long non-coding RNA (DCAR_LNC000803)". Lineage: Eukaryota; Viridiplantae; Streptophyta; Magnoliopsida; Apiales; Apiaceae. The record is from RNAcentral.
GCUACACUCUGUCCAGCCCCGCCUCUGACCUCAUUUUCACCCUCCACAAGACCACCCCCUUUGGCUUCUCCAUUACUCGUCGGUCCUCUGGUGAUACCCUCUUCGACACCUCACCAGACCUCUCAAAAGCCAACACCACAUUCCUCAUUUACAAAGACCAGUUUCUCCAACUCUCCUCAGCUCUCCCUGCUGACAGGUCAUUUCUUUAUGGCCUUGGAGAGCAUACCAAGAGAUCAUUCUUGAUUGAACACAAUCAAACUCUUACAAUGUGGAAUGCUGACAUUGCCAGUGCAAAUAUUGAUCUUAAUUUAUAUGGUUCCCAUCCAUUUUAUGUGGAUGUCCGGUCUCCAGACUCUGCUGGAAAAGUGGCUGCUGGGAUUAGUCAUGGGGUCUUGCUGCUUAAUAGUAAUGGGAUGGAUAUUGAGUACACUGGUGAUAGGAUUACUUAUAAAGUGAUUGGUGGAAUACUUGAUUUGUAUUUUUUUGCGGGAGAGUCCCCGGAAAAUGUGAUUGAUCAAUACACUGAGCUCAUUGGCCGGCCUGCUCCCAUGCCCUAUUGGUCAUUUGGUAAGUUGACAUGUUUAUAGAUGUCAGUGUCUGUCUUUUUCAUUUUUUUUCUCUUUCUAAUAUUGCAAUUAGACAUAUAUAAUUGUUAAGUAGCAUCAGGAGGGUGCAUGAAAGGUUUCGACGUAUGCAGUCUUACCCUUAUGUUUCAUGUGAACUAGCAAAUUUCAAGUAGAAGAUAAUGCGUACAUCUAUGAUGCUCCAAACUUUGUUUAGUUUUAUCUCUUAUCUCUGUUUGAAAUAAUAUUACUCUAAAGUAUCAUAUCAUUUGUAGUUUAAAUUUAAUUUCUCUUAUAGGAUUUCACCAAUGCCGCUAUGGCUAUGUUGAUGUGAAUGACCUUGAGGGUGUAGUUGCUGGUUACGCAAAGAGUAGAAUCCCACUUGAAGUGAUGUGGACAGAUAUAGACUACAUGGAUGGCUAUAAAGAUUUCACUUUCGAUCCUAAUAACUUUCCUCUAGACAAAAUGAGAAAAUUCGUCGAAACAAUUCACAGCAAUGGUCAGAAAUAUGUGGUCAUCGUGGAUCCUGGUAAAUUUUCUUUUCUAGCUAUAUUGGUGAAAAUAUAUGCAUUUAUGUGUGUUUACUAUCUAGAGCUGCCUUGUACUCAAGACUGAUAUUGUAAGUGCUCAACUUAAUCAUUUUGGCAAAUUUUCCAUAUAGUUCAUGAUCAUUGUACUCUAUACAGGAAUCAGCACCAACUCAACUUAUGAUACCUUCAUAAGAGGUAUGAAAGCUGACAUAUUUAUAAAACGCCUCUGGUGAUACCCUCUUCGACACCUCACCAGACCUCUCAAAAGCCAACACCACAUUCCUCAUUUACAAAGACCAGUUUCUCCAACUCUCCUCAGCUCUCCCUGCUGACAGGUCAUUUCUUUAUGGCCUUGGAGAGCAUACCAAGAG